This 709-nucleotide ribosomal RNA is filed under the name uncultured Alphaproteobacteria bacterium. RNAcentral's name for it is "bacterial SSU rRNA". It matches the Rfam family "Bacterial small subunit ribosomal RNA", at positions 114 to 859 of the family's 1533-position model. Lineage: Bacteria; Pseudomonadati; Pseudomonadota; Alphaproteobacteria. The record is from RNAcentral.
CACGUGGGAACGUGCCUUUAGGUUCGGAAUAGCUCCUGGAAACGGGUGGUAAUGCCGAAUGUGCCCUUAGGGGGAAAGAUUUAUCGCCUUUAGAGCGGCCCGCGUCUGAUUAGCUAGUUGGUGAGGUAAUGGCUCACCAAGGCUACGAUCAGUAGCUGGUCUGAGAGGAUGACCAGCCACAUUGGGACUGAGACACGGCCCAAACUCCUACGGGAGGCAGCAGUGGGGAAUCUUGCGCAAUGGGCGAAAGCCUGACGCAGCCAUGCCGCGUGGAUGAUGAAGGUCUUAGGAUUGUAAAAUCCUUUCACCGGUGAAGAUAAUGACUGUAGCCGGAGAAGAAGCCCCGGCUAACUUCGUGCCAGCAGCCGCGGUAAUACGAAGGGGGCUAGCGUUGCUCGGAAUUACUGGGCGUAAAGGGAGCGUAGGCGGACAUUUAAGUCAGGGGUGAAAUCCCAGAGCUCAACUCUGGAACUGCCUUUGAUACUGGGUGUCUUGAGUGUGAUAGAGGUAUGUGGAACUCCGAGUGUAGAGGUGAAAUUCGUAGAUAUUCGGAAGAACACCAGUGGCGAAGGCGACAUACUGGAUCAUUACUGACGCUGAGGCUCGAAAGCGUGGGGAGCAAACAGGAUUAGAUACCCUGGUAGUCCACGCCGUAAACGAUGAUUGCUANUUGUCGGGUUGUUUACAACUCGGUGACGCAGCUAACGCA